Molecule: long non-coding RNA, 647 nt
Organism: Spea bombifrons (plains spadefoot toad)
Lineage: Eukaryota; Metazoa; Chordata; Amphibia; Anura; Pelobatidae
Exons: 4
Source: RefSeq, a predicted model, not a curated record
GGCAAAUGCCCUUAAUGUCAACGUGUGAAGGCGAAACCGGUUGUUAGUGGUAAUAACAGGGCAGUGAAAGGGCAUAAUUACCAUAAUGAUAACCUAACAUUUAAUAUUCUUAGUGAGACAGUCGAAUGUGGCAGUCUUUGGAAAGACGAUCAUUGCUGUAUGAGAAUUGAGAAAUGCUCUUAAUAUGUCAAAUGUAUGAAUCACAGGAACACAACUGGAAGUUCACUGCACGAUCUGUGAGUUCCCAUAAGUAAUGAUCACUAUUCGUUGUUUGACCCUGCAUUGCACACGGAUGGGAAUGUCUGUUUUGCAAUUGAAUUGUUUCACGUUAUCGGUCACAUUAAAGGUGCUGCGUUUAGUUCAUGUGUACUGCGCUUCUGUAUACGUGGUUCCUCCCCUCCUGUUGUCAUCACCAUGCGCAACGCGUUUCGCUUCAAAUGCUUCUUCAGGUAGCACACAGCAAUGAAGGAAACUCUAAAAUAUAAGCUCUGAUAUCACAAUCUCACGGACACAAAGCGGCGGACACCAGUGCGGAAGUCGAUUGCAGACCCGGAUCUCACUAGGGUGGGACGCACAUCGUCAUUUUAUAUAUAAGCAUUUGCACCUCGAACAGAGUUAACUCAGGAACAGAACUAGGGAUCGUGUUC